RNAcentral lists this ribosomal RNA (161 nucleotides) under Beauveria bassiana. Its description in RNAcentral is "5.8S ribosomal RNA". It matches the Rfam family "5.8S ribosomal RNA". From Rfam's summary of the family: 5.8S ribosomal RNA (5.8S rRNA) is a component of the large subunit of the eukaryotic ribosome. It is transcribed by RNA polymerase I as part of the 45S precursor that also contains 18S and 28S rRNA. The record is from RNAcentral. Lineage: Eukaryota; Fungi; Ascomycota; Sordariomycetes; Hypocreales; Cordycipitaceae.
AAAACUUUCAACAACGGAUCUCUUAGGCUCUGGCAUCGAUGAAGAACGCAGCGAAAUGCGAUAAGUAAUGUGAAUUGCAGAAUCCAGUGAAUCAUCGAAUCUUUGAACGCACAUUGCGCCCGCCAGCAUUCUGGCGGGCAUGCCUGUUCGAGCGUCAUUUC